GACGAACGCUGGCGGCGUGCUUAACACAUGCAAGUCGAACGGAAAGGCCCUGCUUUUGUGGGGUGCUCGAGUGGCGAACGGGUGAGUAACACGUGAGUAACCUGCCCUUGACUUUGGGAUAACUUCAGGAAACUGGGGCUAAUACCGGAUAGGAGCUCCUGCUGCAUGGUGGGGGUUGGAAAGUUUCGGCGGUUGGGGAUGGACUCGCGGCUUAUCAGCUUGUUGGUGGGGUAGUGGCUUACCAAGGCUUUGACGGGUAGCCGGCCUGAGAGGGUGACCGGCCAAAUUGGGACGGGGAUGCGGCACAGACUACUACGGGAGGCAGCAGUGGGGAAUAUUGCACAAUGGGCGGAAGCCUGAUGCAGCAACGCCGCGUGCGGGAUGACGGCCUUCGGGUUGUAAACCGCUUUCGCCUGUGACGAAGCGUGAGUGACGGUAAUGGGUAAAGAAGCACCGGCUAACUACGUG
This 468-nucleotide ribosomal RNA is filed under the name uncultured bacterium. RNAcentral describes it as "partial 16S ribosomal RNA". It matches the Rfam family "Bacterial small subunit ribosomal RNA", at positions 28 to 507 of the family's 1533-position model. The record is from RNAcentral.